GUCAUCAUCAGUGGACUACCAUCAGCUUGGUCGACACGCGCCCAACCACCACCCCUCUCUGGACUGGAGCAACGAUUACCAUGGCAACGGCAGCGGCCUGCAGAGGGACAAACCUCUCUAUCUGAGCUAAUCUCAGGACAAGAUGACGGCAAAUCUUCCACGCCGAGGAACACACGACAAGCCUGACCCGCCACGGAGGACUCACCCACCGACACGCGAGCUACACCCGAGUUCAGCGCUCCAACCAGAAGCCUGAGCAGCAGAAGGGGACUUUUCUGCUGCAAAAAGUUUCCGGUCCCUGCAUGUCCCACGGCCGGUCGUACCGGGUUUCUGGCUCUAUUUUUUUCUACCGAUUGUCUGGACCGAUUGCUAUGCUUUGAAUUGAAGUUGUGUAUCCCAGCGCGGAGAGGCGGUGUGCUGUGAACCACGACCAUAGGUGUACAUACUCCUCACAAAGGGACGUUCUGUCUAAUAUCCUGUCCUCCCUAAACAAAUGAAACCCCUUAUCUAGUUCUUCAUUUGGUAAAGACGCCGUUUACUGUCAGCUCCAAAAAGCUCUGAGGAGCCAAGUGUAAAUUACUGUAACAUAAAGGUUUGAGCUGUCGAUUUAAAGCCAAUUGACUCAUUAUUUUCUUUUUCUUUUGAUCUGAUGUCUCCUUCUGCGACCAAAGGGAACACAGCACGCAAACAAUAAGUAACCAAAUCCUCCACAAACUGUUCUUCACUUCCUGUAAUAGACUGUGAGAUGAUGCCGGAUGGACUCAAGUCCCACACGCACUGAACUCGCAGCGCUUUAAUUGUGUGCGAUUUAAGAGCUUUCAUUGUUCUCGCAGCGACGCUACAAAUUCAUUGUAUUUUAGUCCUUGAGACAACGAAAUGUCAAACAAUUCUUUGUUGGGGGGAGAAAAGAAACGAAAAUAGUCCUUUGGCCGCUGACAGCUCCUCCUCCCGGCAUAUGUCCGUUGGUGAUAUUGAUUCGGAUCCAAACUGCGUGCGAGUGUGUGAGUGAAGUGUUAAUGAGAAGGUUGGUUGGGGCGCACGGUCUCUAUGUCAUCUCUAUUUCUCUGUGCACAGAGGCUAUUUAAUAAGAAACUAUAACUGUUGCUGGGUUGGCUGUGUUUUAUUGUUGUUUUUAUAAUCAAAUACAAGUUUUGUUUUAGUGUUAAUGAUGAUGAGGGACGCAUUUCUCUCUCUGCUCUGUAUCUCUUUGUAUUAAUGUGUUUUUUUUGGCAGAUGAAAGGACUCUGGGCAACAACAACCAUGAAGAUUUUCUUAUUUUUAGAUUCUAAUAAUGUGUUUGAGAAUAAAGUCAGCGCUGCA
Molecule: long non-coding RNA, 1320 nt
Organism: Gasterosteus aculeatus aculeatus (three-spined stickleback)
Lineage: Eukaryota; Metazoa; Chordata; Actinopteri; Perciformes; Gasterosteidae
Source: Ensembl